Molecule: ribosomal RNA, 254 nt
Filed under: uncultured bacterium
Lineage: Bacteria
Description: partial 16S ribosomal RNA
Rfam family: Bacterial small subunit ribosomal RNA
Source: RNAcentral
UACGAAGGGUGCAAACGUUGCUCGGAAUUAUUGGGACGUAAAGCGCACGUAGGCGGCUUAGCAAGUCGGAAGUGAAAUCCCACGGCUCAACCAUGGAAGUGCUUUCGAAACUGCUGAGCUUGAGUACUUAAGAGGAUCGCGGAAUUCCCGGUGUAGAGGUGAAAUUCGUAGAUAUCGGGAGGAACACCAGUGGCGAAGGCGGCGAUCUGGGAAGAUACUGACGCUGAGGUGCGAAAGCGUGGGGAGCAAACAGG